GACGAACGCUGGCGGCGUGCCUAACACAUGCAAGUCGAACGGGGAGUUAGCAAUAACUCCUAGUGGCGAACGGGUGAGUAACGCGUAGACAACCUGCCUCUAAACUGGGGACAACACCGCGAAAGUGGUGCUAAUACCGAAUGUGGUAACUUGAUCGCAUGAUCGAGUUAAGAAAGAUGGCCUCUAUUUAUAAGCUAUCGAUUAGAGAUGGGUCUGCGUCUGAUUAGCUAGUUGGUGAGGUAAUGGCUCACCAAGGCGACGAUCAGUAGCCGGUCUGAGAGGAUGAACGGCCACACUGGGACUGAGACACGGCCCAGACGCCUACGGGAGGCAGCAGUGGGGAAUCUUCCGCAAUGGACGAAAGUCUGACGGAGCAACGCCGCGUGAGUGAAGAAGGUCUUCGGAUUGUAAAGCUCUGUCGUUUGGGACGAACGUGGGUAGUGUGAAUAAUGCUAUCUAAUGGCGGUACCAAAGGAGGUAGCCACGGCUAACUACGUGCCAGCCGCCGCCGUAA
RNAcentral lists this ribosomal RNA (514 nucleotides) under uncultured bacterium. Its description in RNAcentral is "partial 16S ribosomal RNA". It matches the Rfam family "Bacterial small subunit ribosomal RNA", at positions 28 to 523 of the family's 1533-position model. The record is from RNAcentral.